UUUCCGUAGGUGAACCUGCGGAAGGAUCAUUAAAAAAUUGGACUCCAUUGGUGAGUUCAUUAAUAAUCCCUACCCUUUGUGAAUUUGUUUGUUUGAAUAAUUUUUUUUCCAAAAAAGAUUAUUGAAUGUCUUUCCUUGUUUUGGUGGAGCUUGUAAAGUGAAACCAGGCAGGGGAAUGGCAAACAAUAAUUAUUUUUGAAAAAGACCUUUUUUUAAAAUUAAACUUUUUGUAUUCAUUUGUCUAAAAUUAAUUUUUAUAAUAUAAAAACAACUUUUGACAAUGGAUCUCUUGGUUCUCGCAACGAUGAAGAACGCAGCAAAAUGCGAUAAGUAGUGUGAAUUGCAGAAUACGUGAAUCAUCGAAUCUUCGAACGCAUAUUGCACUUUUUUAGUUUACUAAAAAAGUAUGUCUGUUUGAGUAUCAGUAAAUAUUCUCAUAAAAAACAUUGUUUUUUUUAUGGUUAUGAGUGUUUUACAACGAUAACAAGUUGUUUCACUUUAAAUUCUUUGUUAUCAAAAAAAUCAUUAAAAGCUAAUUUUAAAGAUUUUUUAAAAUUGGAUAAAAUUUUCCCGUAAAAAGGAAUAACCUAAACAAUUUUAAAAAAUUAAAAUUGGUUUGAUUUUUUUUGAAACCCAAAGGAAAAAAAAACGAAAUUAACUUGAUCUCAAAUCAGAUAAGAGUACCCGCUGAACUUAAGCAUAUCAACAAGCGGAGGAAAAGAAACUAACUAGGAUUCCCUCAGUAACGGCGAGUGAAGCGGGAAGAGCUCAAAUUUGAAAUCUUCAAGGCUUUACCUUGACGAAUUGUAGUUUAAAGAAGUGUUUCUGUUGGAGUUUGGUAAAAGUUCUUUGGAAAAGGACAUCAUAGAGGGUGAGAAUCCCGUAUUUGACCAUUAUCUCCAGCUUUGUGAUACACUUUCAAAGAGUCGGAUUGUUUGGGAAUGCAGUCCAAAAUGGGUGGUAAAUUUCAUCUAAAGCUAAAUACUGGCGAGAGACCGAUAGCGAACAAGUACCGUGAGGGAAAGAUGAAAAGAACUUUGAAAAGAGAGUUAAACAGUACGUGAAAUUGUCAAAAGGGAAGCGUUUGACACCAGUGUUGUUUUCUCGAAAAUCAAUUAAAAAAGGCCGGAUUUUGUGUUGUAUUGACUUUAUCAGCUUUCUGCACUCUUUUCUUGUCUUUUUUAAUGCACUUUUCGUUUAACAAGUCAACAUCAAUUUCUU
This 1221-nucleotide unclassified non-coding RNA is filed under the name uncultured Neocallimastigales. RNAcentral's name for it is "partial contains small subunit ribosomal RNA, internal transcribed spacer 1, 5.8S ribosomal RNA, internal transcribed spacer 2, and large subunit ribosomal RNA". The stretch from base 661 to 1221 matches the Rfam family "Eukaryotic large subunit ribosomal RNA", at positions 1 to 558 of the family's 3401-position model. Lineage: Eukaryota; Fungi; Neocallimastigomycota; Neocallimastigomycetes; Neocallimastigales. The record is from RNAcentral.